This is a long non-coding RNA of Antechinus flavipes (yellow-footed antechinus), 559 nucleotides long. RefSeq lists it as uncharacterized. Lineage: Eukaryota; Metazoa; Chordata; Mammalia; Dasyuromorphia; Dasyuridae. The record is from RefSeq and is a predicted model, not a curated record. The transcript has 2 exons.
UGUGAUUAUCAGCCAUGUAACUUAAUGGGUAGAGUACUGGGCAUUGAGUUAGGUUAGCUGUGGUGGGGCUGAUGGGAAGUUUGGGGGUUGCUCCUCUGCUGGGGGGGGGACAGGGUCCUGGGUUCAAAUCCAGUCUCAGACCCUUAUGAGCUGUGUCAUCUUGCUAAAAUCAAUUCACCUGUUUUCCUGUUUUCUUAACUGUAAAAUGGAGGAAAGGACAGGUGGUUGUAUGAAUUAAAUGAAAUACGUGUAAGGCUUCUUAGCACAGUACAGCAGACAUUGACUACAAGUGGAUUGAUUUAUUGGUACAAUGCAAGACUUUUAAACUCGAGGGCCUGGCUUUGACUCCUACUUCAGAUUUUAAACUAGCUGUCCUGACUCUGGGAAAGCUAGAAAGCUUAAAUGAAGGUAUAACAGAAUGUAGAAUAAGCAAAAACAAUUCAUGCCCACCAUACAGUUACAAAGCAGAAAAAGGGGAAAAGUUAAGAAUUGUUGAUAAACUGCAAGAUAUUUUGUGCAAGAAAUAUGGACUUUCUCAAAAAUAAAAAAGAUAAAAAGA